This 331-nucleotide long non-coding RNA is filed under the name Citrus x clementina. Its description in RNAcentral is "Citrus clementina (C. clementina) long non-coding RNA (CCLE_LNC003923)". Lineage: Eukaryota; Viridiplantae; Streptophyta; Magnoliopsida; Sapindales; Rutaceae. The record is from RNAcentral.
GAUAUAUAAUUGCAACAUAACCAAGUCCUUAAUAAUGUGAAAGACAGCCAAAAUGCAAAGAGGAAAAUGGGAUAUAAGGGCUGAAAAGCUGCCACAUAACUAGAAUUCAUGUCCUCAUAUUUUACUUGAGAGAGGUGGGACAGUGGCAUGUACAGGAGAUGAAACUGAAUAGACAUAUCGCUGCUUGUGAGCCUAUCCAUCAUGAAGCUAGGAUUUCAUGCACGUGUGGAUAAAUGCACACGAUUCACGAACUGAAAUUUCUGGUGAUGAGGCACGCCGGUCUCGGACAUCACUUGAAAAAUCCGAAUUCAAAUUGAAAUUUAAAUUUUAU